CGAGGGCUGGAGGAGAACCGGGCCAGACGGGGAAGCCGCGCGGCCGCGGGGCGAGGACACGGUGGCGGGGAGCGGACACGGGGGCGAGGACACCAGGUGUCCAAGGUUUUGCAUUUGGUUUCACCACUGGAAGGGGAAAAAAGGACAAAACCUAGGACCUUGCAAAUGCUAGGCAAGAACUAAACCCCUGACCCCUACAUAAGGCUCUUCUGCUGGGUUCUGCUGGGUUUCUCUAGGCUUGCUAACUUGUUAAAUGGAGCUGAAGUCUGCCGCUCAGAGGGAUUACUGAUUGAUGCUGGGCACACUGGACAAGCCUCCUGGCUGGCAGGAUCACUGUCCUGGGAUUGCGGCUUCCUUCCACCAAGUGAUUGCCUCCAACCUGCUGACUCCUCCUGCAAGGCUGCCCGGCCCUGCCGGAUCCUCGACAGACCCUGGCUCUUUAACGGAGCCGCACAACAACCCAAGAAGGUGGGCAUUAUCUUCUUCCAGUUCAUGGAGGACAGAAGGAAGUCCCAGAAGAGCAGGAGCUUGCUGAGAUCUGGGCCAGUGCUCCACCACAGAGCCACCCCCAGCCCCUGCCUGAGGUCUCGAUGCUCGUCAGUAGACGCGGGGCUUGAACUCAAUUCUGAGUGGUCCUCCUGGUCUUCCCAUUACGCUAGCUGUUAUGGUUUGGACCUGGAGUGUCCCCCCCAAGGCUCGUGGUCCCCAGUGCAGCAGUGUUCAGAGGUGGGCUUUGGAUCAGGAGGACUCUGAGCUUCUCAGUGGACUAACCCAUUGGUCCCCAGCUAAUGGAAUCAGGGGACGGUGAAGCCUAGUUGGAAGAAGUCACCAGAGGUGUGCCCUGGAAGAAUUUACCUUGUCCCUAGCCCCUUCCCUUUCUCUGCUUCCUGACUAUCAUAUCUGAGAGUCUAUACCCUCCCACCAUGAUGUCCCCAAAGUAAUGGACAGACAACCAUGGACUGACACCUCUGAAAUCAUGAGCCAAAAGAGAUCUUUCCAUUAAGCUGUUUGUGUUAGUCAUUUGUGUCCUAGGGAUGAAACGCUGACCAACACACUAGCUAUACCCAAAUAAAUGGGUAACCUAGCAGAAUAGAUGUGCUAGG
Molecule: long non-coding RNA, 1103 nt
Organism: Urocitellus parryii (Arctic ground squirrel)
Lineage: Eukaryota; Metazoa; Chordata; Mammalia; Rodentia; Sciuridae
Source: Ensembl